CCUGACGUAGUCCAGCUGGCAGAAUUCCCGUCUGAUACGCGGGCGGUCGGAGGUUCAAAUCCUCCCGUCAGGA
RNAcentral lists this transfer RNA (73 nucleotides) under Enterocloster clostridioformis. Its description in RNAcentral is "[Clostridium] clostridioforme tRNA-Ile". It matches the Rfam family "tRNA". Rfam says of the family: Transfer RNA (tRNA) molecules are approximately 80 nucleotides in length. RNAcentral also lists the same sequence under 1 other name. The record is from RNAcentral. Lineage: Bacteria; Bacillati; Bacillota; Clostridia; Lachnospirales; Lachnospiraceae.